UACGUAGGGACCAAGCGUUGUUCGGAUUUACUGGGCGUAAAGGGCGCGUAGGCGGCAAUUCAAGUCAUCUGUGAAAUCUCCGGGCUUAACUCGGAACGGUCAGGUGAUACUGCUUUGCUAGAGUGCGGAAGGGGCAAUCGGAAUUCUCGGUGUAGCGGUGAAAUGCGUAGAUAUCGAGAGGAACACCUGAGGUGAAGACGGGUUGCUGGGCCGACACUGACGCUGAAGCGCGAAAGCCAGGGGAGCAAACGGG
Molecule: ribosomal RNA, 253 nt
Filed under: uncultured bacterium
Lineage: Bacteria
Description: partial 16S ribosomal RNA
Rfam family: Bacterial small subunit ribosomal RNA
Source: RNAcentral